CACAAGCAGCGGAACGUGUGGUUUAAGUUCGAUGCAACGCGAAGAACCUUACCUACCCUUGACAUGUCCGGAAUCCCGAAGAGAUUUGGAGUGCUCGCAAGAGAACCGGAACACAGGUGCUGCAUGGCUGUCGUCAGCUCGUGUCGUGAGAUGUUGGGUUAAGUCCCGCAACGAGCGCAACCCUUGUCAUUAGUUGCCAUCAUUUGGUUGGGCACUCUAAUGAGACUGCCGGUGACAAACCGGAGGAAGGUGGGGAUGACGUCAAGUCCUCAUGGCCCUUAUGGGUAGGGCUUCACACGUCAUACAAUGGUCGGUACAGAGGGUUGCCAACCCGCGAGGGGGAGCUAAUCCCACAAAGCCGAUCGUAGUCCGGAUCGCAGUCUGCAACUCGACUGCGUGAAGUCGGAAUCGCUAGUAAUCGUGGAUCAGCAUGUCACGGUGAAUACGUUCCCGGGUCUU
This 459-nucleotide ribosomal RNA is filed under the name uncultured Rhodocyclaceae bacterium. RNAcentral's name for it is "bacterial SSU rRNA". It matches the Rfam family "Bacterial small subunit ribosomal RNA", at positions 924 to 1382 of the family's 1533-position model. Lineage: Bacteria; Pseudomonadati; Pseudomonadota; Betaproteobacteria; Rhodocyclales; Rhodocyclaceae. The record is from RNAcentral.